GAAUUUUCUGAAACUUCAGUGACACUAUGAAGUGAUGCAUCUCUCCCACUUACAGCUGUGGAAUUCCCCAAAGAAAGAUUUGUUCUUCUCGUCCGAGUUGCCUGUGAAUCCAAAUGCAUUCUAUCUGUUGAACCUUGCCUUUCUCCACCAUCAUCAUGACCAUCAGCACUUCCAAUUUCAACAUCUAGGCUACGAAGGCUUUCCCCUAGAGUUGCCCCACUACCACUACUUUCCUGGCUAACUGCUUCAACAUCUCGGACAGCAGCAUCAUUAUGUUCAAACUGCAUUUCAACAGACUGCAAGUGAGAAUCACUUGUUACUGGUCUCAUCUCAAUAUUGACAGAUCUGCCCACUGCUACAGAAGAGGGAGGAGGCACAUUGCUGCUCCCAUUGUUCACAUUGUUUUCAACGGGUGUAUCAGGCUGUACUGCAUCUGGUCCAGGUAACUGGCUAACCUCACCAUUGAUUUUAGGUUCUGCUGUUGAUGUAUUCUGAUCAGAAGACUUCUCAGAAACUGGUUGCCUCAACUGAGAAACAAGCAACUCCUCAAGGCCCUGUGGUACAGAUGCACUAGAACCACCACUUUGCUGGUUAUCAUCACUCCACAAAUUCAAACGGUGUCCAUGACGCCCAUUCCUUAGUGAACGGAAGAUAUUAUCCAGCUGAGAUGAAGUAUUCUCCAAAUUCCUAUCUGAAAAGGCCAUAUCACGAGCAUUCUCUGAAUGUCUGCCAGAGGCUGACUGUGUUGUAGGUCCGACUAGAAG
This 764-nucleotide unclassified non-coding RNA is filed under the name Hevea brasiliensis (rubber tree). Lineage: Eukaryota; Viridiplantae; Streptophyta; Magnoliopsida; Malpighiales; Euphorbiaceae. The record is from RNAcentral.